RNAcentral lists this ribosomal RNA (218 nucleotides) under Strumigenys villiersi. RNAcentral's name for it is "partial large subunit ribosomal RNA". The record is from RNAcentral. Lineage: Eukaryota; Metazoa; Arthropoda; Insecta; Hymenoptera; Formicidae.
GAAUUUUAUAAAAUUAUUUAUAAAAUUUUAAAGUUAAAAUAUAAAUAAUUAUUAUUUAAUUGGGAGGAUUUUUAAAUUUAGCAAACUUUAAAUAAAAAUUUAAAUAUAAAUUAAUAAGUAAAUUUUUUUAGAAUGAUUAAAAAAUUAAAAAAUAAUUAAUUACCUUAGGGAUAACAGCGUAAUAUUUUUAAUAAGAUCUUAUUAAUAAAAAUGAUUGC